Molecule: ribosomal RNA, 253 nt
Filed under: uncultured bacterium
Lineage: Bacteria
Description: partial 16S ribosomal RNA
Rfam family: Bacterial small subunit ribosomal RNA
Source: RNAcentral
UACGGAGGGUGCAAGCGUUAAUCGGAAUUACUGGGCGUAAAGCGUGCGCAGACGGUUAUCUAAGUCGAGUGUGAAAGCCCCGGGCUCAACCUGGGAAUUGCAUUCGAAACUGAAUAGCUAGGGUGCGGAAGAGGGAAGUGGAAUUUCCGGUGUAGCGGUGAAAUGCGUAGAUAUCGGAAGGAACAUCAGUGGCGAAAGCGACUUCCUGGUCCAGCACCGACGUUCAGGCACGAAAGCGUGGGGAGCAAACAGG